RNAcentral lists this ribosomal RNA (255 nucleotides) under uncultured bacterium. Its description in RNAcentral is "partial 16S ribosomal RNA". It matches the Rfam family "Bacterial small subunit ribosomal RNA", at positions 524 to 777 of the family's 1533-position model. The record is from RNAcentral.
UACAGAGGGUGCAAGCGUUAAUCGGAAUUACUGGGCGUAAAGCGUGCGUAGUCGGUUAUCUAAGUCGGAUGUGAAAUCCCCGGGCUCAACCUGGGAAUUGCAUUCGAUACUGGAUAGCUAGAGUUCGGCAGAGGGAAGUGGAAUUUCGGGUGUAGCGGUGAAAUGCGUAGAUAUCCGAAGGAACAUCAGUGGCGAAAGCGACUUCCUGGACCAGAACUGACGAUCAGGCACGAAAGCGUGGGGGAGCAAACAGGG